This 861-nucleotide ribosomal RNA is filed under the name Oenococcus oeni. RNAcentral describes it as "bacterial LSU rRNA". It matches the Rfam family "Bacterial large subunit ribosomal RNA", at positions 1081 to 1968 of the family's 2925-position model. The record is from RNAcentral. Lineage: Bacteria; Bacillati; Bacillota; Bacilli; Lactobacillales; Lactobacillaceae.
GUGCAUAGACAACUAGGAGGUUGGCUCAGAAGCAGCCACCCUUUAAAGAGUGCGUAAUAGCUCACUAGUCGAGUGCUCUUGCGCGGAUAAUGUACCGGGGCUAAGCAUAUUACCGAAACUGUGGAUGCGUAAGCAUGGUAGGAUAGCGUAAUUAACGCGAUGAAGGAUGACCGUAAGGACAUGUUGGAGCGUUAACUAGUGAGAAUUCCGGUAUGAGUAGCGAAAGAUAGGUGAGAAUCCUAUCCACCGAAUGAGUAAGGUUUCCCCCGGAAGGCUCGUCCGCGGGGGGUUAGUCGGGACCUAAGGCGAGGCUGAAAAGCGUAGUCGAUGGACAACAGGUUGAUAUUCCUGUACCGAUAUUUAAUUGCCGAAGGAAGGACGCAGAAGGAUAACACAGGCCACUAUUGGAUGUGGUUUUAAACAGUUAGUCUUCAUAAGAGUCAAAUGCUUUUAUGUUUAAGGAUAAGCUGUGAAUGUACCAAGUUUACUUGGAAAUUGUGUGAUUUCACGCUGCUGAAAAAAGUUUCGUAGGAAGAAAAUAUUGCCCGUACCGCAAACCGACACAGGUACUCAAGUGGAGAACACUAAGGUGAGCGAGUGAACUAUUGUUAAGGAACUCUGCAAAAUGAGUCCGUAACUUCGGAAGAAGGACUGCUGGUUUUAUACCAGCCGCAGCAAAUAGGCCCAAACAACUGUUUAUCAAAAACACAGGUUUCUGCAAAAUCGUAAGAUGAAGUAUAGGGGCUGACGCCUGCCCAGUGCUGGAAGGUUAAAAGGAGGACUUAGCUUCGGCGAAGGUCUUAAUUGAAGCCCCAGUGAACGGCGGCCGUAACUAUAACGGUCCUAAGGUAGCGAAAUUCC